Long non-coding RNA from Vespa velutina, 1645 nucleotides. RefSeq lists it as uncharacterized. The transcript is spliced from 3 exons. The record is from RefSeq and is a predicted model, not a curated record. NCBI's taxonomy places the organism in Eukaryota, Metazoa, Arthropoda, Insecta, Hymenoptera, Vespidae.
CCAGAGCACCAGUACCAGACUAGUACCAGCACCACUACUACCACUACCACUACCACCACCACCACCACUACUACCACUACCACCACUAGCGACAGCAGCAGCAGCAGCAGCAGCAGCACUAAUACGUCCUAUCUCCUCACACCAAAGAGUAUCCAAUUUUAGCGGGUUGUCUCUGACAAAACGCCGACGACGACGAGUAGUAUGCGCAUUCGCUCGGCCACUUUGCCCAAGGAGAGAAAUUCGAGACCUCGUCAAUAGCGAAGAAGAGAACCGAACGACGUCCACUUUCCGUCUGCGACGACGAACGAGAUAACCGAGACGAAUCGGAAAAGGAGGUGGAGGAGGAGGAGGAGGGCAAGAGAGAGGGAGGAUAAAGGAGAGGAAAGGAAGGGGAAGGUGGAGGAGGACAAGGAAGAGAAAGGAAAGAAAUGCGGUCGCGCUAGUACGGAGGUACGGAGGAAGAUACGGAUGAAGGGAGGGAGAGAGGGAAGAAACAGAGAGGGGUGAACCGAAAGUGCGGCGACUCGUCACCUGAUUGCAGUCGCCCGCGUGUGCGCCGUCUUCCUCUUUCUAUCUCUUUCUAUACCUUUCUCUCUCUCUCUCUCUCUCUCUUUCUCCUCUCUCUAUACGUAUUUAUAUGUAUAUAUAUAUAUAUCUUUCUCUCUUCGUUUUCUAUCGCAGCGGACGAGUCGUCCUCUGGACGGUUCCAUCUUUGACUCACAAUAUUUUUCUUUCCUUACUCGAAAUGUUUUUGUUCAACUUUUCAAAUAAAUAAAAAAAAAAAAAAAAAAAAAAAGAAAAAAAAAAAAGGAAAAAGAAAAAAGAAGAAUAAUAAAGAAAAAAGAAAGAAAGAAAGAAAGAAAAAACACUUAUAGUACUUUACAAAUGUAUGAUAUGAAUGAUUAGGGAAACACUCCGAAGAUGAUUCAUUGAUAGAUUACUACGACGAUGCGCUUCGCGGUCCGUGAUCGUCUGAUUGUGAAACAAGAAGAUCGAAAGAGAACGAGUGUGUGCAUAUUCCUGGUGACCUAGCCGCCUUAGGCGCCAACGGUCAACCAAUCAGAAAUCUACUUUUUCUCUCCUCCUUGUACGUCGACCAAUCGGAAAGCUUUGUACGCGCCCGCGCCACGAACGACGAAGCUCACUUGAUUGGUUCGUACUUAGAUCAUAUAUUUCUUAUAAUACUGUUUUUCUUUCUUUCCCUGUUUUUUUUUCCUUUCUUCUUCUUCUUCUUCUUCUUUAUUUUUUUUCUUUUCGAGAAAUUCAAUUUUAAUUUUAGAAACGAUUAUUUGAAUUUAACGUUAACGUAAUAACACCAUUGAUGUGUUAUAAUAUUGUAAUAUUUUAAUUAUGAUGUUUCUUUGAAGAUGAAAAAAUAUUUGAAAAGAAAAAAAAAAAAAAAAGAAUGAAAGAAAGAGAGAAAGAAAAAAAAUUUGCAAUAUUCAGGAAAGAGGAAAAAUUGGAUGAAGUCAGAAGAGAUCAAAGCGAUUUAAAUGGCAAAGUUUCUUUGUACUACGAGCGUCAAUUAUUUCGUUUGUUUAUCGAGAAAAUAAGUCGAUAUCUUACGAUUUAGCAUCAUCGUCUUCGACUAAAGAUAUUUCCUUUGAAAUGUAUAAUUUCUGAUAAUAAAACGAAUUUUUUAUUA